Molecule: non-coding RNA, 2397 nt
Organism: Salmo salar (Atlantic salmon)
Lineage: Eukaryota; Metazoa; Chordata; Actinopteri; Salmoniformes; Salmonidae
Source: RefSeq, a predicted model, not a curated record
AACAAGCAGGUGAUUUAUAGCAGUUCCACCAGGCCACCUCCUCUGCUCUCUCCCAAAACAGCAGAGCAAGGAAAUCCAUUACAAAUGAAGUACUGUGUUAAUGGGCUUUGGUGUGUGUGUGUGUUCAUGGUAAACAAUUGAUGUUUGGGUGAAAAAAAGGUGAAGGUUAUUCGAGGUGUCUGUUUCUGUGUGCAGCAGGUCAGCCUCUACUGUGUGUGUGUGUGUGUGUGUGUGUGUGUGUGUGUGUGUGUGUGUGUUUAUAUACAGCACUGUUUGUGUUUGCUCCUAUAUAAUCAGCUGCUUCCUAUUGGCUCCUAUGCACCCUCUAUCCAUCGCUUUUCUCUCCAUCCCCCUCUCUCCUCUCACACGACCCCACCCCCCUCAGCUCUCUCUCUCCCUCACUUUCUGAGAGAUGGAGUGAUACAGGCCUGUGUUCUAGGCAGAGGAGAGGAGAGGCUCAGGGGAGAAAACAGAGGAGUGAAGGAGGAAUAAAUAAAGAGAACGGAGGGAUGCUGGUAAUGUACCAGCGGAGGAUCAGGUGACGAUUUGGUGAGGGUACGUCGAUCCUACUAGACCUGUACCUUUAGGAACCAAUUAUACCCUGAGCAGGUGGAAGAGAAUUCGGUUGAGGAUAAAUCUGAAACAAGACACUCCCUCCUUGUUUUUCGUCCCAUACAAAGUCCAAAGGGAGAGGGCGACUAAAAUAUGACUUCAAUAACAGGAUAGGAGUGAUAACUCGUAGGGAACAGAUGGUCAUGUUGGAAUAGCGUGGUAUGACCGUGUAGUCUUUACAGCGGUAAAACUCCUACUCCUACACGGGCAUGUUCUUCAGUGAGAGACCUAGACAGAAACACAGUAUUCAGGUAGAUGCUGAAGUGGUAAACGUCAUGGCCCUGCAUACAAACCUUUAGCAUUUCAUCUUUAAAACACAGGUUGGGAAAGGUAUUCCUGAAAUAUAACGGCAUUGUAUUAUGAUCUAUCCUCCUCAUACUUAGCCUUGCAUGCCAACUAGGCUCACCUACUGUAUAGAAACAGUUAGAAAAGAACUGAAUUUGUUGAUAUCUCUACUGUGUGUGUGUGUGUGUGUGUGUGUGUGUGUGUGUGUGUGUGUGUGUGUGUGUGUGUGUGUGUGUGUGUGUGUGCGUGCGUGCGUGCGUGCGUGCGGUAUUUGCUCCAUUUUUUGGCAAAGUUGUUGUCUUUCUUCUUGGCUGCAUGUGAGCCUGAUACCAAGUGCUAAGGAUCUCUCUCUCUCUCUCUCACACACACACACACACACACACACAGACGGCUGGUGGAGACACUGUGUUCCUAUCUGGCCACUAGGUGGCGAUGGUUGCCAGGCUGCCAAGCAGACAGACACGGUAGCAAGUCACAGAUGUUGUCUGGCCCCUCCUUUUGUUUUCUGCCUAUUGAAGAAGGAGACCUCAGCUGCUGAAGGACAUUCUCCAUUAUGGCAUCAAUGUUCUUUUGAAAAUAAUUUCCAUUAAAACAUGUUUUUUUUUGUUGUUGUUAAAGGGACAGUAACAAAGGGAAGGCCAGGAAAAGUAGAUGAGGAGAGAGGGACUGACAAGGGGUGCCUGGAUGGGAGUGAGGGAUAUAAAGGGGGCCUUGAUUUAGAGAGGUUUGUGUGUGUGUGUAUAUGUAUGAGUGGCUUGUGUAUGUGUGUGUUCUGAAUAACCAUGUACGAGAACAGCAAGACCAUCUAUCGAGAAACAUCACUAGAACUGACGGUCAAAAUGAUGAAGAAUGUGUGGGUGAAAAUGUGCCGUGUGUAUUGGGUAGAAUUCCAGAAGGAGUAAUGUAUAUCACUAUGCGGCGUUUAGAUCUGCAGUACAGUGGCUCAGAGUCUAUCGGAGGGUCACCAUAAAUGUUGUCAAUGAGCAUUUCUUUAUCCAAUAACAGAAUGUUUCAUGGCUGCCACAAAUGAAUCUCCUGACUUCCCACUGAGCUGACUGUUCUCAUCUCUGCAGUUAAGCAGAUAUCGGCUUUGCUCUAUUUUAGUGGCGGUGAAGCUAAAAGCAAAGGAGGUUGUACAUAGCAACAGUUAAAACACUGAAAAUUGUAUUUGAGCAUUGUAUUGGAAGCAAUAUUACAAUAGGAGAACGAGUCAAACAUUACGCAGAAGAGGAACUGACCAGUUAGGCCUACAACAUUGUGCCUUUUAAGAAACAGUAGAAUGAAAAACCAAGACAGUUCUGAAACCCAAAAAUAAAAUACAUCAAACGUCCCUUUUGGCUUGUAUUCUUUCUGGAUCUCGCUCUUCAAUAUCAAGUGUCCUUAGUCUCCAGCAAUGGAUACCUCCACUGCUUCUCGGAGUGAGAGGGGAAGAUACGGGGGCGAGAUGAACCGCCUAAGCAUGUUUUUUUUCUUCUUUUCAAUCCCAGUUCAUGGUGGGUG